RNAcentral lists this ribosomal RNA (486 nucleotides) under uncultured bacterium. Its description in RNAcentral is "bacterial SSU rRNA". It matches the Rfam family "Bacterial small subunit ribosomal RNA", at positions 17 to 518 of the family's 1533-position model. The record is from RNAcentral.
UUAUGGCUCAGGAUGAACGCUGGCGGCGUGCUUAACACAUGCAAGUCGAACGGACUAUUGAGAGCUUGCUUUGAAUAAGUAGUGGCGGACGGGUGAGUAACGCGUGGGUAACCUGCCGUAUGCUGGGGGACAACAGUUGGAAACGACUGCUAAUACCGCAUAAGCGCACAGAACCGCAUGGUUCAGUGUGAAAAACUCCGGUGGCAUACGAUGGACCCGCGUCUGAUUAGGCAGUUGGCGAGGUAACGGCUCACCAAACCGACGAUCAGUAGCCGGCCUGAGAGGGUGAACGGCCACAUUGGGACUGAGACACGGCCCAAACUCCUACGGGAGGCAGCAGUGGGGAAUAUUGCACAAUGGGGGAAACCCUGAUGCAGCGACGCCGCGUGAGUGAAGAAGUAUUUCGGUAUGUAAAGCUCUAUCAGCAGGAAAGAAAAUGACGGUACCUGACUAAGAAGCCCCGGCUAACUACGUGCCAGCCGCGGC